This 335-nucleotide unclassified non-coding RNA is filed under the name soil metagenome. RNAcentral's name for it is "partial contains 5.8S ribosomal RNA, internal transcribed spacer 2, and large subunit ribosomal RNA". The stretch from base 1 to 120 matches the Rfam family "5.8S ribosomal RNA", at positions 35 to 154 of the family's 154-position model. The record is from RNAcentral.
GAUGAAGAACGUAGCGAAAUGCGAUAAGUAAUGUGAAUUGCAGAAUUCAGUGAAUCAUCGAAUCUUUGAACGCACAUUGCGCCCAUUAGCAUUCUAGUGGGCAUGCCUGUUCGAGCGUCAUUUCAACCCUUAAGCCCUGUUGCUUAGCGUUGGGAGCCUACAGUACUGUAGCUCCCCAAAGUUAGUGGCGGAGUCGGUUUCACACUCUAGACGUAGUAAUUUUUUCUCGUCUGUAGUUGAGCCGGUCCCCUGCCGUAAAACACCCAAUUUAUCAAGGUUGACCUCGGAUCAGGUAGGAAUACCCGCUGAACUUAAGCAUAUCAAUAAGCGGAGGG